GACUAUACUUCAGAGUUUGAUCCUGGCUCAGGACGAACGCUGGCGGCGUGCCUAAUACAUGCAAGUCGAGCGAAGAGUUAAUGGUGCUUGCACCAAUAACACUUAGCGGCGAACGGGUGAGUAACACGUAAAGAACCUGCCUCAUAGACUGGGACAACUACUGGAAACGGUAGCUAAUACCGGAUAAUAUUUAAAAUCGCAUGGAGAUAAAUUAAAAGUCGGUGCAAGCUGACACUAUGAGAUGGCUUUGCGGUGCAUUAGCUAGUUGGUGAGGUAACGGCCCACCAAGGCAAUGAUGGGUAGCCGGCCUGAGAGGGUGAACGGCCACAAGGGGACUGAGACACGGCCCUU
This 351-nucleotide ribosomal RNA is filed under the name uncultured bacterium. Its description in RNAcentral is "bacterial SSU rRNA". It matches the Rfam family "Bacterial small subunit ribosomal RNA", at positions 1 to 334 of the family's 1533-position model. The record is from RNAcentral.